RNAcentral lists this ribosomal RNA (253 nucleotides) under uncultured bacterium. Its description in RNAcentral is "partial 16S ribosomal RNA". It matches the Rfam family "Bacterial small subunit ribosomal RNA", at positions 524 to 776 of the family's 1533-position model. The record is from RNAcentral.
UGCGAAGGGGGCUAGCGUUGCUCGGAAUCACUGGGCGUAAAGCGCACGUAGGCGGCCAACUAAGUCCGACGUGAAAUCCCCAGGCUUAACCUGGGAACUGCGUCGGAUACUGGAUGGCUUGAAUUCGGGAGAGGGAUGCAGAAUUCCAGGUGUAGCGGUGAAAUGCGUAGAUAUCUGGAGGAAUACCGGUGGCGAAGGCGGCAUCCUGGACCGACAUUGACGCUGAACGGCGAAAGCUAGGGGAGCAAACGGG